This 483-nucleotide ribosomal RNA is filed under the name uncultured bacterium. Its description in RNAcentral is "SSU rRNA". It matches the Rfam family "Bacterial small subunit ribosomal RNA", at positions 26 to 521 of the family's 1533-position model. The record is from RNAcentral.
AGGAUAAACGCUGGCGGCGUGCCUAACACAUGCAAGUCGAACGCGCUUGCUAUCCGCGAGGACGGUGAGCGAGUGGCGGACGGGUGAGGAACACGUGGGUGACCUACCUUUCAGUGAGGGAUACCGGCGAGAAAUUGCCGACAAGACCGCAUACGCUUCUCUUUUCAAGGGGAGAAGGAAAGCUUUUCGCAAGAGAGGCGCUGGGAGAUGGGCCUGCGGCCGAUUAGCUAGCUGGUGGGGUAAUGGCCUACCAGGGCGACGAUCGGUAGCUGGUCUGAGAGGACGAUCAGCCACACUGGGAUUGAGAACGGCCCAGACUCCUACGGGGGGCAGCAGUGAGGAAUUUUCGGCAAUGGGGGCAACCCUGACCGAGCAACGCCGCGUGCAGGACGACGGCCUUCGGGUUGUAAACUGCUUUCUCUGGGACGAGCAAGGACGGUACCAGAGGAGAAGCCCGGCUAACUACGCGCCAGCAGCCGCGGU